UACGUAGGGGGCAAGCGUUGUCCGGAUUUAUUGGGCGUAAAGAGCGUGUAGGCGGCCAGUUAGGUCCGUUGUGAAAACUCGAGGCUCAACCUCGAGACGCCGAUGGAAACCAAUUGGCUAGAGUCCGGAAGAGGAGAGUGGAAUUCCCGGUGUAGCGGUGAAAUGCGCAGAUAUCGGGAAGAACACCCGUGGCUAAGGCGGCUCUCUAGUACGGUACUGACGCUGAGACGCGAAAGCGUGGGGAGCGAACAGG
Molecule: ribosomal RNA, 253 nt
Filed under: uncultured bacterium
Lineage: Bacteria
Also listed under: 1 other name
Description: partial 16S ribosomal RNA
Rfam family: Bacterial small subunit ribosomal RNA
Source: RNAcentral